AUGGUCAUUUGUGUUGUGGUAGAAACACUUUCUUUUAUUAGGGUCAGGACGGACAGGCAGAAGCACGAAGCACAGAUACAUAAACUUAUGAUUAUUUGUGUUGUGGUAGAGGCACUUUCUUUUGUUAGGGAUAUUUUCAUUAUUUCUAUUUGUGGCGUUGGCACAAUAACAUGCUACAAACACCCAUCCAGAGUUUCGACGAAUGCGAUGGCAUGCUUCGACGGCCGCGUUGAUGCUUUCAAGUGUGCUUUCACGGCUGCAAUGAUGGCACCACGACACGAUUCUAACACUCGUGCGGUGCUCUGA
Molecule: ribosomal RNA, 306 nt
Filed under: Triticum aestivum (bread wheat)
Lineage: Eukaryota; Viridiplantae; Streptophyta; Magnoliopsida; Poales; Poaceae
Description: partial small subunit ribosomal RNA
Source: RNAcentral